UAUGUACUCCCUCCAUCCCAAAAUUCUUGUGUUAGUUUUGUCUAGACAUGAGUGUAUCUAAAUAUCAAAGUGUGACUAGAUACAUUCAUAUCUAAACAAAUCUAAGACAAGAAUUUAAGACGAAGGGAGUACUAC
This is a non-coding RNA of Hordeum vulgare subsp. vulgare (domesticated barley), 135 nucleotides long. Lineage: Eukaryota; Viridiplantae; Streptophyta; Magnoliopsida; Poales; Poaceae. The record is from Rfam.